UACGGGAGGCAGCAGUGGGGAAUAUUGCACAAUGGGCGCAAGCCUGAUGCAGCCAUGCCGCGUGUAUGAAGAAGGCCUUCGGGUUGUAAAGUACUUUCAGUCGUGAGGAAGGUGUUAAGGUUAAUAACCUUAGCAAUUGACGUUAGCGACAGAAGAAGCACCGGCUAACUCCGUGCCAGCAGCCGCGGUAAUACGGGAGGGUGCGAGCGUUAAUCGGAAUUACUGGGCGUAAAGGGCACGCAGGCGGUUAAUUAAGUUGGAUGUGAAAUCCCCGGGCUUAACCGUGGGAAUGGCAUUCAAGCUGGUUAGCUAGAGUCUUGUAGAGGGGGUAGAAUUCCAUGUGUAGCGGUGAAAUGCGUAGAGAUGUGGAGGAAUACCGGUGGCGAAGGCGGCCCCUGGACAAAGGCUGACGCUCAUGUGCGAAAGCGUGGGGAGCAAACAGGGAUUAGAUACC
RNAcentral lists this ribosomal RNA (454 nucleotides) under uncultured bacterium. Its description in RNAcentral is "bacterial SSU rRNA". It matches the Rfam family "Bacterial small subunit ribosomal RNA", at positions 340 to 786 of the family's 1533-position model. The record is from RNAcentral.